CAGGCCUAACACAUGCAAGUCGAGCGCGCCCUUCGGGGUGAGCGGCGGACGGGUGAGUAACGCGUGGGAACGUGCCCUUUGCUACGGAAUAGCCCCGGGAAACUGGGAGUAAUACCGUAUGUGCCCUUCGGGGGAAAGAUUUAUCGGCAAAGGAUCGGCCCGCGUUGGAUUAGGUAGUUGGUGGGGUAAUGGCCUACCAAGCCGACGAUCCAUAGCUGGUUUGAGAGGAUGAUCAGCCACACUGGGACUGAGACACGGCCCAGACUCCUACGGGAGGCAGCAGUGGGGAAUCUUAGACAAUGGGCGCAAGCCUGAUCUAGCCAUGCCGCGUGAUCGAUGAAGGCCUUAGGGUUGUAAAGAUCUUUCGUGGGGGAAGAUAAUGACUGUACCCUCAAGAAGAAGCCCCGGCUAACUCCGUGCCAGCAGCCGCGGUAAU
RNAcentral lists this ribosomal RNA (436 nucleotides) under uncultured bacterium. RNAcentral describes it as "bacterial SSU rRNA". It matches the Rfam family "Bacterial small subunit ribosomal RNA", at positions 43 to 524 of the family's 1533-position model. The record is from RNAcentral.